CCCUUAGACGUUCUGGGCCGCACGCGCGCUACACUGACCAGUGCAACAAGCAUCCGUCCUUGGCCGACAGGCCCGGGCAAUCUUUGAACGCUGGUCGUGAUGGGGAUAGACUUUUGCAAUUUUUGGUCUUCAACGAGGAAUUCCUAGUAAACGCAAGUCAUCAACUUGCAUUGAUUACGUCCCUGCCCUUUGUACACACCGCCCGUCGCACCGACCGAUUGAAUGGUCCGGUGAAGCCUCCGGAUUGGCGCGCACCUCGGUGCCGCCGAGAAGUUGGCUAAACCUUACCAUUUAGAGGAAGGUGAANUCGUANCA
This 315-nucleotide ribosomal RNA is filed under the name uncultured eukaryote. Its description in RNAcentral is "partial 18S ribosomal RNA". It matches the Rfam family "Eukaryotic small subunit ribosomal RNA", at positions 1470 to 1796 of the family's 1831-position model. The record is from RNAcentral.